This 676-nucleotide ribosomal RNA is filed under the name uncultured Thermoplasmatales archaeon. RNAcentral's name for it is "bacterial SSU rRNA". It matches the Rfam family "Archaeal small subunit ribosomal RNA", at positions 12 to 691 of the family's 1478-position model. The record is from RNAcentral. Lineage: Archaea; Methanobacteriati; Thermoplasmatota; Thermoplasmata; Thermoplasmatales.
UCCUGCCGGAGGCCACUGCUAUCGGUUUCCGACUAAGCCAUGCGAGUCAUGGGGCCGCAAGGCACCGGCGCACGGCUCAGUAACACGCGGAUAAUCUAUCCUCUGGUGGGGGAUAACCUCGGGAAACUGAGGCUAAUACCCCAUAGACAUUCAAUUCUGGAAAGAUUGAAUGUUGAAAGCGCAAGUGCCAGAGGGUGAGUCUGCGGCCUAUCAGGUAGUAGGUGGUGUAACGGACCACCUAGCCUAAGACGGGUACGGGCCUUGAGAGAGGGAGCCCGGAGAUGGGUUCUGAGACACGAACCCAGGCCCUACGGGGCGCAGCAGGCGCGAAACCUUCGCACUGCGCGAAAGCGCGACGAGGGGAGACCGAGUGCCUCUCCUUUUUGGGGAGGCUUUUCGCAAGCCUAAAAAGCUUGUGGAAUAAGGGCUGGGCAAGACGGGUGCCAGCCGCCGCGGUAAUACCCGCAGCUCAAGUGGUGGUCGCUUUUAUUGAGCCUAAAACGUUCGUAGUCGGCCUUGUAAAUCCCUGGGUAAAUCGGGGCGCUUAACGUUUCGAAUUCCGGGGAGACUGCAAGGCUAGGGACCGGGCGAGGUCAGAGGUACUUUCGGGGUAGGAGUGAAAUCCUGUAAUCCCGAAGGGACCACCUGUGGCGAAAGCGUCUGACUUGAACGGCUC